RNAcentral lists this unclassified non-coding RNA (384 nucleotides) under uncultured Actinomycetes bacterium. RNAcentral's name for it is "uncultured actinobacterium contains 16S-23S intergenic spacer region". Lineage: Bacteria; Bacillati; Actinomycetota; Actinomycetes. The record is from RNAcentral.
UCCGGUUUGACACCGGCAGUCUCCCUAGAGUCCCCGGCAUUACCCGCUGGCAACAUGCGAUGGGGGUUGCGCUCGUUGCGGGACUUAACCCAACACCUCACGGCACGAGCUGACGACAGCCAUGCAACACCUGUCCUGGUUCCCGACUUUACGGGUGGGCAACCCUUUCAGGCGCCUACUUCCAGAAUGUCAAGCCUGGGUAAGGUUCUUCGCUUUGCAUCGAAUUAAGCAACGCGCUCCGCCGCUUGUGCGAGCCCCCGUCAAUUCCUUUGAGUUUUAGCCUUGCGGCCGUACUCCCCAGGCGGCGAACUUAAUGCGUUAGCUUCGGCACGGAAGCCAUGACAGCCCCCACACCUAGUUCGCACCGUUUACGGCCAGGACUAC